AGAAGCCUCCCAGUCCAUAGAACCUGGCAAUGAUGAGGUACUUCCCAAGUAUUCUUCAGUCAUCUCAACCAAACUUAUUAGGAUUUCUUCAAUGUGACAGGGGCUAUCAUGUCUGCAGAACAUGUCAACUGACUGAAGUUCUUCCUGACUGAUUCUCCACUAUCUCAGGCAAACUUGUUUUUGCCUUCCUCCUCAAUGUACGACUGACUUCCUCACCCUCAUUUGCUUACACUGCAGUAAUUCAGAAUCUGGUAACCAGGCUCCUUGUGCAUUGAAAGCUAAUGAUCCCUCCUUCUCCCUGUUGCAGAGGGAGCACAUGUAAAGCUUAACUGGAAUAUAUAUUUUUAUAGGGCUUAUUGAACUUUCUUUAAACAAAUCUGUAUGUUUGUUUCCAUAAGUCAGAGAAAACAGUCAUGUUUCUGAAAAAUAAAGAAAAACUACAGUUAAAUAUACUACUUUCCUUUAGAAAUAGAAGCUAAUCAAAAUCAAUUUUAAAAACAUUAGUUUACACCUUCCCAAAUUGAAAAUCUGUCUCAAACUUUGAGCAAAAUUUCAUAAAUCAUUAAGGUUCAAUGUUGAAACAAAAAAAGUGAGAAAGUCAAUUAUAGAAUAUAAUGAUUUAAUCAACUCCUUCAGUGCUUCAGAGGCAUGUCAUUGAUGAAACAGGAAAGUUCAGCGCAUUUCCUUAUUAAUAUAACAGAGUAGGGGAUUUUCUAGCCAACAGGGGCCUAUGGGAGACUCACAGUAAACAGACAGAUGCUAGCACUCUCAGAUGUACAGAUAGCAGCAGACCAAUCAUUUUAGAAAUGUGAAAGGGGGUCAAAGUGGUUUUGUUCUUACUUGGGUCUGCAGAUGAGACCAUGGUCUAACAACACAUAAUUUACAGCCUAGUAAGACCCAGAGGAAAAUGCUCAGCCAGGCUGUACUCAGAGACCCAAUACCUUGAGAUGUUAGGUCAUGAAUACACCAGUGUUUAAGUCACUGAUUGGGGAAUAAUUAUUUUACCUAAUGCUCAAUAGACAUUGUACACUUUAGGGAAUCUUUUUUCUUUUUUAUAUGCUUCCCAUAAGAACCUCAAAGAGAUAAUGUGCUACCUUAUAUUUGUUUCAUAAGUAAAUUCUCUUAAAUAUCCGACCACUUUGGGGUGGAUCUGAGUUUUCUUUCACUGAAAAUCUCUUACACAUGUUACUUUAGAAAUUCAAAACUCUACACAAAAGGCCGCAGCAUGACAAUUUAUAAGACUAAGAGGUCAUAAAAUAGGAAAUACAGAUAACUUGAUCCCAGAAAAUAUUGGUGUAUAACAAGAAAAAUAACCUGUCUUUCUAAAAUAUUUUAUGUCUUUAACUAUAUUUAUGCAGGUAGCAAAGUAGAUAUAUUGACUGAGAGAUUUGAAUGAUGUUAAUGAUGAUGUUGGUUCUCUAAGUGUCUUGAUAAAUGGGUUUCAAAUGUUCAAGAUUCCUUUCUUAUUUGACUAACAUCCUUUAAACCUCCUCAAUAUGUAAUUUCAGAAUGCUAUUGUUGCUGAUGAUAGUGAUGAUCAUGAGGAUAAAGAUGAAAUUGGCUUUUUAUGGAUCACUGAGAUCAAUCAAGAAUAGACUCUUAGUGAACCCUAUUGGUCUUGGGCAUAGCCAUCUCAGCAAAACAUGAAAAUAAAACUCAAAGAAUUAAUACGGUCAAUUUUGAACUACAAAAUUUUUUAUAUAUUUUUGUUAGAUUUUUAUGUUUUGUGGCAUUUCCCUUUGCACUAUAUGAUAUGCCACACGAUUCUUGGCAUCUUUCACAGAUAUCUCUGCAUGUCGACAAUGUCCUAUGAAUAGUAGCAUCACCUCCAAUGAGGACCAUUAAGAUUAGAGUACUAGUAAGAUUGCCAUUUUAAUACUAGUAAUUAACAAUGUAGCAAAAUUGACUUAAACAUUUCUUUAUAUAUCAUUCAACUCAGAUCAUUAUGAUUUCAGAAUCAUUUAGAAAACUUAUUACUCUCAUCCAGGUUUUUAUUUUUUGCAAAAGUCAUUGAAGGGGUAUGGCUUAGGUGCUCUAGUAGCUAAUAGUUUGGUAGUGAAAACAAGGUAUCCACAAAUAAGUAAAUGUGUCAUGACCUGUCCUAAUUGUCACAGAAGUAUCAGUAAUUACAUACAAGUUCAUGUUAAGGGUGAAGCGGCUUAAGUAACAGAAAAAUAACUUCAACAGAGUGAACCGGUCACUAGAAUUUAAAUACCCAGAAUUGGGUAAUUUAGAUAUCAAAUUCAUUAUGAAAUAUCUUAUCAGAAAGAGUAUCUGACACAUAUUUUCAAGAUUUCUUUGUUUUUUUUUAAUUUUUAAGAAUUUCAUUCAGAUAUACAAUGAAAUAUUAUCAUAUCCAUUGCCAUUUCUCACUUUUUAUUUCCAUGCUAUACCUCUGCCACAUCCCUCUCCCAACUUCAUGUCCACUUUUUUGCUGUGUUUUUGAAAACUUGUUACGUCUAGUUAAUGCUACUCACAUGUGCCUAAGAAUGGGGCCAUCUACUGGACUAUGUACAACCUAUACAAAUGACCAAAUACACACACACACACACACACACACACACACACACACACACACACACAGAGUGAGCCUCCAUGCCAAGUCACUAUCAACUGGUAAUAACUAUUCAGUGAAGGAUAGUGCCUGGAGAAGGUCAUUUCCAUCAACAACAGAACAUUUUGACUUGAUCGUUAUGUGGGUAAUCAUAAUUGCUAUAUGUUUAUAAUAUGCAUGUCACACACAGAAGACAGCAUUUCACAUCACUCUUCUACAGUUUGGAUGCAAUUGUUGGCUUUCAGUAAACCUCAGUAUGUCUCUCCACUAUUUGUGUUUUUAUUUUAUUUUUUUAUGGUGCUCAGGAUGUCAUCCAGGACCUCAUGUAUGCUAAUAAAGUGGUCUGCCACUGAGCCACAACUCCAACUCAUAGUUGUUAUGGAAAUACGAUAAAGUAAAUUGUCUCACCAGUGGAUCAGGUGCUUAUUUAGGAGACAGGCUUUUAGGAUUGGACUAACUAUUGACAGAGAAGAAGCAGCAGGACAAAUGAUGCUGUAACCACAUCUGCAGAAUGGGCAGAGAGAAAACCACCUGACAAUCCAAAGUUGGAUGGGAGUUCGGGACAACUAGAGCUCUCAAAUGGUACCUGCAGAGAUGGGAGCUGGUCCUGCCCUGUGGAAGACAGGCAAGUGCUGCUCUGCAUUUAAUACACAGCAAACACGCAACACAGAGAGCAAGCUGCUAUGUGUUUGCUCAAGUAAACUAAGCAGUGUCCUCAUGAACUGCUUAUCUGUAAUUGCUUCCAGUGGCAUCAACUGAAAUAAUUAAUUGUAUCAAAUAGUUGUCAAAAGCAAUUAUACAGAAAACAAGAAGGAUCUUCUUAUACAUGCAGCAGCACUGGUGAAACUCAAAUGCAUUAUUCUCGUAAAAAAAAAAACCCAGACAUAUAGUGUAAAAUUCCUAUCAAGUCCAAUAACUGGCGAACUAUACCAUACAUGAGUUACUUCAAAGGUCAAUAUGAUGAGGACACUGUGAGGGAUUCAUCCUUGAAAGUUGCUAUGUAGAUGAUGCGACUAUGCAGAGAAAAUAUUUUUUUGUAUCAGCAUAAAAUAUUUUUAUAAAACAAACAAAAUAUUCCCAGGAAGCAACAAACCCUCAAUUGGUUGGGCAUGUGCUACCAUACACAAGCCUGUUGGCAAGUGGAGUCAUGGUACGUGAUAGCUUGUAAGGCUAUCAUGUAGUUCAUGUAAGCUGCAGACAAGGAAAAGCAGUGGCAGCAGGUAGGAACUCAUUUCAAAUUCUCUAUCACAACCUAUGCUACUAGGAAAAGAAUCAGCAUGGGACAUUGGCCUCAGUAGAAGGAGGCUCCUAGGAACCAAGAUGAAGUGCCAAGCCUAGGAGAAGAUACAUGAUGAAUUAGUUACUUUUCUCAUUAUCUUGAAAUAAUACUCAACAAAUGUAAGUUAGGAAGGAAAGGAUUAUUCUGCUUGUGUUUAAGGAAGGAUACAGUCCAUCAUGUGUAGGAAGCUAUGACUGCAGGAGUGUGAGGUAGUUGCAAUAAUGGAAGAAGAGAGGAAAGAUGAGAGGAGGGAAGGAAAGGAGAGAGAGAG
This is a long non-coding RNA of Peromyscus maniculatus bairdii (prairie deer mouse), 4104 nucleotides long. RefSeq lists it as uncharacterized. Lineage: Eukaryota; Metazoa; Chordata; Mammalia; Rodentia; Cricetidae. The record is from RefSeq and is a predicted model, not a curated record.